RNAcentral lists this ribosomal RNA (386 nucleotides) under uncultured bacterium. Its description in RNAcentral is "bacterial SSU rRNA". It matches the Rfam family "Bacterial small subunit ribosomal RNA", at positions 28 to 412 of the family's 1533-position model. The record is from RNAcentral.
GAUCAACGCUGGCGGCGUGCCUUACGCAUGCAAGUCGAACGGGCCAUGAUUUUCGGAUUGUGGUCCGUGGCGGACGGGUGAGGAACACGUACGUGACCUGCCCAUCAGAGGGGGAUACCCCGCCGAAAGGCGGGACAAGACCGCAUAAGCUCUUUGUGGUGCGCCGCGAAGAGGAAAGCCCCGAGAGGGGUGCUGAUGGAGGGGCGUGCGGCGGAUUAGCCAGUUGGUGGGGAACGGCCUACCAAAGCGACGAUCCGUAGCUGGUCUGAGAGGACGGCCAGCCACACGGGGACUGAGACACUGCCCAGACUCCUACGGGGGGCUGCAGUAACGAAUCUUCCGCAAUGCACGAAAGUGUGACGGAGCGACGCCGCGUGUGGGACGAA